UGGGGAAUUUUGGACAAUGGGGGAAACCCUGAUCCAGCCAUCCAGCGUGUGCGAUGAAGGCCUUCGGGUUGUAAAGCACUUUUGGCAGGAAAGAAACGUCAUGGGUUAAUACCCCGUGAAACUGACGGUACCUGCAGAAUAAGCACCGGCUAACUACGUGCCAGCAGCCGCGGUAAUACGUAGGGUGCAAGCGUUAAUCGGAAUUACUGGGCGUAAAGCGUGCGCAGGCGGUUCGGAAAGAAAGAUGUGAAAUCCCAGAGCUCAACUGUGGAACUGCAUUUUUAACUACCGGGCUAGAGUGUGUCAGAGGGAGGUGGAAUUCCGCGUGUAGCAGUGAAAUGCGUAGAUAUGCGGAGGAACACCGAUGGCGAAGGCAGCCUCCUGGGAUAACACUGACGCUCAUGCACGAAAGCGUGGGGAGCAAACAGG
Molecule: ribosomal RNA, 429 nt
Filed under: Acidobacteriota bacterium
Lineage: Bacteria; Pseudomonadati; Acidobacteriota
Description: Acidobacteria bacterium partial 16S ribosomal RNA
Rfam family: Bacterial small subunit ribosomal RNA
Source: RNAcentral